Molecule: ribosomal RNA, 528 nt
Filed under: uncultured bacterium
Lineage: Bacteria
Description: bacterial SSU rRNA
Rfam family: Bacterial small subunit ribosomal RNA
Source: RNAcentral
ACGCCGUAAACGAUGAUUACUAGGUGUGGGGGGUCUGACCCCUUCCGUGCCGCAGUUAACGCAAUAAGUAAUCCACCUGGGGAGUACGGCCGCAAGGCUGAAACUCAAAGGAAUUGACGGGGGCCCGCACAAGCAGUGGAUUAUGUGGUUUAAUUCGAAGCAACGCGAAGAACCUUACCAGGUCUUGACAUCUCCUGCAUAACCUAGAGAUAGGUGAAGUCCUUCGGGACAGGAUGACAGGUGGUGCAUGGUUGUCGUCAGCUCGUGUCGUGAGAUGUUGGGUUAAGUCCCGCAACGAGCGCAACCCUUGCCAUUAGUUGCUACGCGAGAGCACUCUAAUGGGACCGCUACCGACAAGGUGGAGGAAGGUGGGGAUGACGUCAAAUCAUCAUGCCCCUUAUGACCUGGGCUACACACGUAAUACAAUGGCCAUCAACAGAGGGUCGCAAUACCGCGAGGUGGAGCCAAUCCCUAAAAAUGGUCUCAGUUCGGAUCGCAGGCUGCAACCCGCCUGCGUGAAGCUGGAAU